UAGGUACUUUUGGGUUAUUUGAAACAUGCAGUCCCCCAAACUUUUUUAAAUUUUGUUUUCUACUGAUAUAUUUCACACAAUUUUGAAGAUAUAAGCAUAUGGCCCCUAAAAGCUUCUCAAUUUUGAUACUUACAUACAUCUUCAUAUAUUUUUAUUAAUUAUGAAUGCAUUUCAUAUAUAUUUUAGAAAUAUAACUAUGGCACCCUAAAAUUUGAAAAAAGGAAAAAUGUUCAUAUUGCCCCCACUAUCUUAAUUUUUUUCCCCUUAAUUUUUUUGCGGCCACAACCCCAACAAUUUUUGAAGUCUAGUUCCAGCCCUGAUUUGAAAUAUUUUUGCCUGAUGCCAGAAAACAAAAACCCGUUGAUGUAGAACAAAGAGAACAAGAAUAAGGAACAAACAAGGACUACUGAUCCUGGAAAAGAGAACCAAUUCUCAGAAAUUAUAUUAAUCUCAAAUAAAUGUCAUAAAAAAGCUUCUAGACCUGUAUAUAGUG
RNAcentral lists this unclassified non-coding RNA (493 nucleotides) under Hevea brasiliensis (rubber tree). Lineage: Eukaryota; Viridiplantae; Streptophyta; Magnoliopsida; Malpighiales; Euphorbiaceae. The record is from RNAcentral.